GGUUCUGAACUUUUUCAUCCUCCUUCAGAUUCCUUCCUUUGGUUUUUAGAUAUCUGUUUCGUUUCUGGUUUAUGAUUCUGUGCUCUUAGGGUUUCGUCUUUUAAUUCAGCGAUGGCUGCCGAUGUUGUAGAGCCACGGUGUAUUGGUUUUGACGGUUAAUUCGUUCCUUCAUUCUCUUAUGGAUUCGUUUGCAUGAAUCGAUAUCUUAAUCGAGAUCGAUUGUGGUUUUGUGUUGCUGUGAUUUAAGAUUGGACUGGUUUUGACGGCGAUGGCUGUUUAGGUCCAUAUAUAACCAAAGAUCGGCUGUUUGGUUUGCAAAGAUCGAAUUAUUGCUUCAUUAGUUUGUUUAUUUCUUCCGAGAAUCUGCCUGAUUCAAUAGAGUUGCGAUGCAUCACGGUUUUAUUGAUGUGUUAUUAGGAUUUGGCCAGUGGAGGGUGCAGACCGUACACAUAACCAAGACACAGCAUCGGCUUUGAUCGGAUUAACCAGGAUUAAUUAUCUAAAUUUUACAUAUAUUUUAAACUUUUGAACCUCUUUAAAAACUUGAUGAUUGGAUUUUGAUGGAGAUCGGCUGUGGCUUUUGGUUGUGUGGUGUAGGAUUUGGUUGGUUUGGUGAAGGCUGUCUGAAGUCAAAGAUUGGUUUGUUAAUCGGCUUAUUGGUUUCAGAGAUUCUCUUUGGUUUCUUUCAAUUUCUGCCUGAUUCGAUAUGAAUUGUGAUGGGUCACGGUUCUGUUGAUGUUGUGUUGUUUUAGGAUAUGGCUGGACAAGUCUGCAAUCCGUACAAUUAUGAGCAGCAGAGGAUCGGCUUUGGGUGAUCGGUUUAACUAAUCCCAAAUUGGCUAAUAUUACGUACUUUUUAAAAUUUAAAACUACUUUGAAACUAUUAUAUGAAGAUCGGCUGUGGUUUUGUUGGUGUGGUGUGAUUUAGGAUACGGCUGGUUGGAUGAUGGUUACCAAGGGUCUAACAUGGAUUUGUAAAUCGGGUUAAUUGGUUACAGUAUUUUGAGUUGUGGUUUGAUUUCAUUACUCUGUUUCUGCGUGAUUCGAUAUGGAUUGUGAUUCAUCACGGUUCUAUUGAUGUGUGUUUAGGAUUUAAACGGUGAAGGCUAUGGGCAGAUCUUCAGCGCUUAUCGGUUUACAUGGAUUUGAAUCUUGCUAAUUCUACCUUCCUCAAUAGUUAUUUGCUCUUUUGUCUGCCAACAGAUAUUGACUUAUGGAUGUAUUGUGUUCUAUUUGGCUUAGGAUACUGGCUCUGUUGUGGCAGCGAGGAAUUGUUGUUCCCACCUUAUUUCGGUUUCAGUGAUCAACUCAUGUCUUCUCUAUAUUUUUCGGAACCUUUGUAUUUGCUAUAUCCGAGUGGAUCAAGUAUCUCCUUGUUCUGUUUUAGGUUGUGCUGGUGUUGGCUGGUGGCUAGUAAGCAGAUGUGGCGUCUCCUGUGUUUCAGCUCUGAUAUUGUUUCUGAAUCUCAAUAAUUCCAUCAUUUCAUUCUUGCCCAAUCCCUAUUAUGAUUCUGAUGUAAGGAUUUGAUUGGUCUCUUGGUAGGUGCAUAUGCUGGGCAGAGCUUUGUUCGUCAAAUAUAAUUGGUUUGAAGUUUAACUUGUUUCUUUAAAUGUUUUCUCUGGUUUAGAUAAGGUGUUGUUUUUAUUGGUGUUAUGUAGGACAGUUUCAGAAUUUUGGCUGCGGUGUUCGCUUUGGCAAUAAUAGCAAAGAGUCCGGUUUUUCAUUUGGUUCCAUUGGUCAAACCAUACCUUCUUGUCUUACCUUCUUUCGUUUUGAAGAAUUUCUUUAACUUGAAUUUAAUUGUAAUUUUGAUAUAUUGUGGUUUUUGUUGUCUGACUUGGGAGUGGAUUGUGUUGGUGGUUCUGCAGGAGUCUAUGUAAAUCAGUUUGUGGAUCUGUUCAUUGGUUUUGCAGAAAGUGGAUUACUUAUUGUGCUGUAUCAUGGUUUUAGUAACAUGCUUUAGGGUUUGGCCGGUGAAGGCUGCAGUUUGUACGUGUAAAAAUGGGCAGUGUCGGCUUGGGUGGGUUUAACACAGAUCAAAUUUUCUAAUUUCUACCUACUGUUUAAACUUCAAAAUUAUUAGAACUUGGUUAUUGGUUUUGAUGAAGAUUGAUUGUGGUUUCUAUUGUUUGAUAUCGGAUUUGGCUCUAUUUUUUAUGGCUGCCUAGGUCAAACACGGUUCUAUUUUAUUUGCUCGCAUAGAUUAAAAUAUUCUUUUAGCUUAUCACUACUGCCUGAUGCAAUAAUGUUUGUGAUGUGUAAUGAUUAUAUUCAUAAUGUUGGCAUGGAACUUUCCUCUUUCAUCGGGUUUUACAUGGAUCAAGUUUGAUAAUUCUACCUUCCCCUUAAAAAAAUGUUUGUCUGCCAUGAAUAAUGUGAGUUAUGGAUGGGUUUUGCUCCAUAUUGGGUUAGGGUUUUGCUCCUUCUCUCAGGUGUUUCUUUCGAUGUCUGCUCUGGCUGAUUGAAUUGUUAUUGUUAUUCUUUAGGGAAAUUGGCUGCAAUGGUUAUAGAAGCAGGAAAUCGAGUAUUUGUUCUGGGUUUCUUGGUUCCGUUGGUCAAAGCUUUCAUUCUAAAUUUACUCUUUACAUUCCUGAAGAUAAUGCUUAUAAAGAAUUCAGUUGUUAUGGAAAUGAAUUGCGUUUUUGUUGUGAUUUAGGAUUUGGCUGUCUUUGUGGGCCUGAGGAGUUCUAUCAAUUGGUAAAUCAGUUUCCGAGGUUCAGUUAACAGUAGUAUGUCAUUUUUCUCAGUGUGCCUGAUUCAACAUUUAGUUAUGUGUUUUAGGUUGUGAUGCCUCGUGCUUUUUUUUUUGUUCAUUUGUAUUUUAGGAUCCGGCUGGUGUGGGCUACAUUCCAUAUAAUGGGAACAGGGCUUUUAACUGUUUUCAUGUUCAAAUUCUCAUUCUUUCGUCAUCAUUAUUUUUUUUCAUCAUUAUUUUUGUUGUAUUUUUAUAACAUGCUUGUGAAUGUUUUAUGUUGGUAUGUUAUUCUUGAGUGGGGCCUGAUGCUUUUAGAGUAAUUUUUUAUUGUCUUUUAACUCAUUUGUCAUUUAUCCAAGAUUUUGCAUUCUGUAUUGUCAGGGUUCAGACUGUUGGAUUUUGCUUUGCUGGGUAUAUGUGAAGCUAUAUUGCGAGUUAUGUGAUCAGGUUUGGUUUAGAGUGCAACUUAAUACUCCAUGUUUAUAGGAAAACAAUCGACCUUUUUUCUGCUCUGCUUAGAUUAAACAAUACAGGAUUUGGGAUUUUCGUCUUUAGUUGGUUUUGUUAUUUGUCUUGAUUCUUUUAGCUCCUGAUGGGGGUUUGUGCUAUUCAUUUUGUUGAUGUGUCACAGGACAGGUUUACAACAAGUUAGAGUUGUGCUGUUUGUAUUGAUUACUGGUUUCUAUUUGUUCUUUAUCCCUCUUGACCUUGUUUUUUUUUACUUUCUCCGGGCUCAUGCUAUACUUUAUUUCCUCGUUUGUGGAUCUUUCCUUCCUGGGCUCAUUAACACACUUGACAGUAUAUUAAUGUCUCAGGGACUGUUCCUCCAAGUCAGAGUGCUGUUCUGUCUAAUUGGUUUUCUGGUUUCUAUGUCCUUAUAACUAUAGUGUUCCUUUAGCUUCUUUUAUUCUCUUUCCCAUUUGGAUUUUUUGCAAAACCUUCUGAAUUGAAUCCUGAUUCAAUGCUUUUUUAGCAUAUCUCUUGCCAAUGUUUUUUAUAACCCAUAAGUUUUGAGUUCAAAAUGGUUCGACAUUACUGACAUCUUUGAAUUAAUUUUAGGACACUGACUUUAUGCACAGAAACCAAACUUGAAUUGUUGGUUAAAUUCCUUGAAAGGUUUGAUGCUAAUUUUUGAAAACUUUCUUUGAAUUAUCUGUUACCAAGUCAUUUUAUACAAUAUGAUAAUUAUGCUCUGCAUGUGUGUUCCAGGGUGGUUUGGGAGAGGUUGGUAGGAGUAGGCCCCUCUUUGUAAGGAGUGUUGGUGCCUAUUGGUUUAAUGGCUUAAGCAAAGAUCAAAUCAGAGUAAUCCUGUCUUCUUGCUAUUCUGUUAUCUUGGUUUAGUAGCCCCUCUUUAUAAGGAGUGUUGGUGCCUAUUGGUUUAACUGCUUAAGGAAAGAUCAAAUCGGAGUAAUCCUGUCUUGCUAUUCUGUUAUCUUGGUUUUUUUUAAUCAAUCUUGUUUAUAGAUGGAUUUGAUAGGAUAUUUGGGUACGUAGGAUGUGGCUGCAGUGGUGAUACUUGCUGGCUUACUUCUAAGGUUUUCUGUUUUAUCAGUGACGCCUAUGCCAGGGGCUGCUGGUUUGGUUUCUUUGGUUUAUCUCAUUUCCUGUCUAAUUUGUCCCCUCAUUGCUUGGAUGUCUACUUAUGUUGUUAGUUUUUUGUUUGGAUGAUAGGAUUUCACUGGGCUGAUGAUGAUUGGGGUCUACAUAGAAAAUCGCCAUUUACGGUCUUAAAUUUCGUUAGUAUUCUUUUGCAUAAUUUUUUUUUUUUGAAAUCAUCACUCAGUUUAGACUGGUGCAUUAUGGUUUUUUUUAUUUAUGUGCUCCAGAAUUUGGCUGGCGAAGGCUUCAGUCCAUAUGGUUAUCCAGAUUUGAUUGGUUACCCUUUCUUUCUCAUUUUAAUUUUAACAUCUCCUUAUGGGUGAUAUAUAUAAACCUAGAGUUGUGACAGUGAUUAAUUAUAUCCUUUUCAACUUGUAUUCUGAUUCCUUGUGUUCAUCUUUUGGCUAGAAAUCCAAGAGGAAUCUGCGAUAGUUUCAUGUCAAGGUUGAAAUUGGUUUGGCACUUUCUACAUCAGUUUUUUUUUCUUACUAUAUAUGUGUGCAAAUAGCCUUUGUACACAUAUUUAACUGGAUAGGUUAACAAUUUGUCUAGUUUAACCAGUCUAGAUAGUAUCUUUUCAUUUCUGGUUCAGGAGGCUGUUAGUUGGUCGCCUACAGAAAUAUGUUCAGAGGAUUCAUAGGUUAUCUUUUCUUCCCCCAAAGGUUUUAGUAUACUUUCUCUUUUCUGGUAAUGACUACAGACUUUGCUAAAUUUGGAGAGGAUGCCAAUAUUGUGAAGGCUAAUUAUUGGAAACUGCUUUCCUGUCUGCCUUCUGAGUUGGUUGUGAAGUUUUGAGGUCGGAUUAUUGGAAACUGCUUUCCUGUGCAUAUUCUUUCAAUGUUGAGCAUUUGAGUGUGGAAUUGGUUAAGGUGGUGAAAUCUCUUUUCAACUUUUAAAAUGACUUGUGCAGAGUGGAACCUAUUUACAGUACAGGUGUGAUUCUGCUGCUGUUAUGAUUAAGGUUUAUAGUUGCUAUUGAGGAGGAUGAUUUUUGCUGUUCUUCGGCGUCCAGUUACUGUCUAAGCUGCAUAAAAAUGAAUCCUUUGGUUUGGUUAUUUCUAUCAUCAGGAGUAUUGUAGGGUUACCAUGUCUUCUUUGCCAUACACAUGUUUGAUGGUUGAUUCCCCUGGUUCAUUGGCGCAGUGAUUUAAAGAUCUUGUGCUCCACAGUUAUUCCUUCUAUCUUCGUGGCUAGAUCUCGCCCAAAGAUAAUGAGGUUUGGUGAGUUGAUCAUGUUAUAGAGAUGUGUACUGAAUUGCCUUAUGCAGAUAUAUAUCCCUUCGAGUUGUAGUCUAUUUAUGAUAAUUUCAAUAGUGGUGAGUUGUUUUGUCUAUGUCAGGUUUGGCAGACAAGGUCUCUUCUCAAAGUGGGUUUUGAGUUUAGGUGGUCUUUUGGUAAAGUGAGCAGUUCUGUGAUCCAGUGGUAAUGUCUCAUCUUUUAUCUUUUAUUUCCUGUGAUCCAUUAGUUGUUGACGAUAAUAUCUGGGAGUAUCUUCUUGGCUGCCUUCUGAGUUGGUUGUGAUAUAUAGUAGUCAACCAGAUAGCCGUGGUUCUUUAGUGCCCUGUUCUCUGAUUAAUUUCGUAAUGGUUGAUGACUUGUUGGAUAUGCUGGUUGAUUUGUGAAGGACUUUGUGGAAGAUGGCUGGUUUGUGUUAUUUUAUUGUUGGAUGGGCUUCGUUUUCAGUUGUGGUGAGAACAAUGGGAUGCUGCUUGUAUAAUUGCUGGUGUGUGCAUGGCCAUUUGUUGUGUGAUUAUCCAUCAGUUGUUAUCGUCUUCAAAUUAUCUACACAUUUUGGAUCCCUUCUAUACUCUCUCUGCUGGUGGUUUUGUAUAGUUGGGAGUUUGGUUUCUUUCGCUUGUUAUGUCAUGGAGUUCGGUUUGUUGCAUUGGUUCUGGUUUUUAGAAACGUGAUGGUUGAAUGCUAUUUGCUUGAUGGAAUUGUAUGUCCGAGUUAUGUUAUGCUGUUACAAUGUGCAUUUGGUUAGGUUUGUAGGAUCUGCAUCUCUAUUUCAAUGUGGGUUACUUUGUAUGCGUGCACUAGGAACUAGGCAUUUAGGUUAGGUUAA
Long non-coding RNA from Argentina anserina (silverweed cinquefoil), 6358 nucleotides. RefSeq lists it as uncharacterized. The record is from RefSeq and is a predicted model, not a curated record. Lineage: Eukaryota; Viridiplantae; Streptophyta; Magnoliopsida; Rosales; Rosaceae. The transcript has 2 exons.